GCCAGGCAUGUUGGCGCAUGCCUGUAAUCCCAGUGGCUCAGGAGGCUGAGGCAGGAGGAUCAUGAGUUCAAAAACAGCCUCAGAAAAAGCGAGGUGCUAAGCAACUAAGUGAGACCCUGUCUCUA
Molecule: small RNA, 125 nt
Filed under: Marmota monax (woodchuck)
Lineage: Eukaryota; Metazoa; Chordata; Mammalia; Rodentia; Sciuridae
Source: RNAcentral